AACACGUGAGCAACCUGCCCCUGACUCGGGGAUGAGCGCGGGGAACGGUGUCUAAUACUGGAUAUGUGGCGGGACCGCGUGGUCUGCGUGUGGAAGGAAUUUGGGUGGGGGAUGGGCUCGCGGCGUAUCGGCUUGUUGGUGAGGUGAUGGCUCACCAAGGCGUGGACGGGUAGCCGGCCUGAGAGGGUGACCGGCCACACUGGGACUGAGACACGGCCCAGACUCCUACGGGAGGCAGCAGUGGGGAAUAUUGCACAAUGGGCGCAAGCCUGAUGCAGCAACGCCGCGUGAGGGACGACGGCCUUCGGGUUGUAAACCUCUUUUAGCAGGGAAGAAGCGAAAGUGACGGUACCUGCAGAAAAAGCGCCGGCUAACUACGUGCCAGCAGCCGCGGUAAUACGUAGGGCGCAAGCGUUAUCCGGAAUUAUUGGGCGUAAAGAGCUCGUAGGCGGUUUGUCGCGUCUGCUGUGAAAUCCGGAGGCUCAACCUCCGGCCUGCAGUGGGUACGGGCAGACUAGAGUGCGGUAGGGGAGAUUGGAAUUCCUGGUGUAGCGGUGGAAUGCGCAGAUAUCAGGAGGAACACCGAUGGCGAAGGCAGAUCUCUGGGCCGUAACUGACGCUGAGGAGCGAAAGGGUGGGGAGCAAACAGGCUUAGAUACCCUGGUAGUCCACCCCGUAAACGUUGGGAACUAGUUGUGGGGUCCAUUCCACGGAUUCCGUGACGCAGCUAACGCAUUAAGUUCCCCSCCUGGGGAGUACGGCCGCAAGGCUAAAACUCAAAGGAAUUGACGGGGACCCGCACAAGCGGCGGAGCAUGCGGAUUAAUUCGAUGCAACGCGAAGAACCUUACCAAGGCUUGACAUAUACGAGAACGGGCCAGAAAUGGUCAACUCUUURGACACCUCGUAAACAGGUGGUGCAUGGUUGUCGUCAGCUCGUGUCGUGAGAUGUUGGGUUAAGUCCCGCAACGAGCGCAACCCUCGUUCUAUGUUGCCAGCACGUAAUGGUGGGAACUCAUGGGAUACUGCCGGGGUCAACUCGGAGGAAGGUGGGGAUGACGUCAAAUCAUCAUGCCCCUUAUGUCUUGGGCUUCACGCAUGCCUCCAAUGGCCGGUACAAAGGGCUGCAAUACCGCGAGGUGGAGCGAAUCCCAAAAAGCCGGUCCCAGUUCGGAUUGAGGUCUGCAACUCGACCUCAUGAAGUCGGAGUCGCUAGUAAUCGCAGAUCAGCAAGGGUGCGGUGAAUACGUUCCCGGGUCUUGU
RNAcentral lists this ribosomal RNA (1262 nucleotides) under Microbacterium oxydans. RNAcentral describes it as "bacterial SSU rRNA". The record is from RNAcentral. Lineage: Bacteria; Bacillati; Actinomycetota; Actinomycetes; Micrococcales; Microbacteriaceae.